This 253-nucleotide ribosomal RNA is filed under the name uncultured bacterium. Its description in RNAcentral is "partial 16S ribosomal RNA". It matches the Rfam family "Bacterial small subunit ribosomal RNA", at positions 524 to 776 of the family's 1533-position model. The record is from RNAcentral.
UACAGAGGUUGCAAGCGUUGUUCGGAAUUACUGGGCGUAAAGCGCGCGCAGGCGGUCCUUCAAGUCAGAGGUGAAAGCCCAGGGCUCAACCCUGGAACUGCCUUUGAAACUGGAGGACUUGAGUACGGGAGAGGUGAGUGGAAUUCCGAGUGUAGAGGUGAAAUUCGUAGAUAUUCGGAAGAACACCAGUGGCGAAGGCGGCUCACUGGCCCGUUACUGACGCUCAGGCGCGACAGCGUGGGGAGCAAACAGG